Molecule: ribosomal RNA, 433 nt
Filed under: uncultured bacterium
Lineage: Bacteria
Description: partial 16S ribosomal RNA
Rfam family: Bacterial small subunit ribosomal RNA
Source: RNAcentral
AACGAACGCUGGCGGCAUGCCUAACACAUGCAAGUCGAACGAGACCUUCGGGUCUAGUGGCGCACGGGUGCGUCACGCGUGGGAACCUGCCCUUAGGUUCGGAAUACCUCCCCGAAAGGGGUGCUAAUACCGGAUAAUGUCUUCGGACCAAAGAUUUAUCGCCUUUGGAUGGGCCCGCGUUGGAUUCGCUAGUUGGUAGGGUAAAAGCCUACCAAGGCGACGAUCCAUAGCUGGUCUGAGAGGAUGAUCAGCCACACUGGGACUGAGACACGGCCCAGACUCCUACGGGAGGGAGCAGUGGGGAAUAUUGGACAAUGGGCGAAAGCCUGAUCCAGCAAUGCCGGGUGAGUGAUGAAGGCCUUAGGGUUGUAAAGCUCUUUUACCCGGGAUGAUAAUGACGGUACCGGGAGAAUAAGCUCCGGCUAACUACGUG